RNAcentral lists this ribosomal RNA (496 nucleotides) under Peptostreptococcus sp. canine oral taxon 033. RNAcentral describes it as "bacterial SSU rRNA". It matches the Rfam family "Bacterial small subunit ribosomal RNA", at positions 9 to 468 of the family's 1533-position model. Lineage: Bacteria; Bacillati; Bacillota; Clostridia; Peptostreptococcales; Peptostreptococcaceae. The record is from RNAcentral.
GAGUUUGAUUCUGGCUCAGGAUGAACGCUGGCGGCGUGCCUAACACAUGCAAGUCGAGCGCGGUUGUGCUUAGUAUUGAGUGUUUUAUUGAUAUAAAACAUUGAAUUCUAUGCACAACUGAGCGGCGGACGGGUGAGUAACGCGUGGGUAACCUGCCCUAUACACAUGGAUAACAUACUGAAAAGUUUACUAAUACAUGAUAAAAUAGUUUUUCGGCAUCGAAGAAUUAUCAAGGUGUCAGCGGUAUAGGAUGGACCCGCGUCUGAUUAGCUAGUUGGUGAGAUAACUACCCACCAAGGCGACGAUCAGUAGCCGACCUGAGAGGGUGAUCGGCCACAUUGGAACUGAGACACGGUCCAAACUCCUACGGGAGGCAGCAGUGGGGAAUAUUGCACAAUGGGCGCAAGCCUGAUGCAGCAACGCCGCGUGAACGAUGAAGGUCUUCGGAUCGUAAAGUUCUGUUGCAGGGGAAGAUAAUGACCGUACCCUNGAGCCG